GGAAGGACUUCAUCCUGAUUGGUUAGAAGGCAACUCAGGUAGCUCAUUGGUGUUUUUGGAGGAGGAGUCCUCCAUUUUAAGUCGGGCUUGCAGACAGGGUGCCUUCUGGCAGGUUCUGCUUUGGAAGAGAAGUGGUUAACAAUAGCUUCCGACAAAAAGACCCCUGGUGCACAGUGGUUUGUUUUUGUUUUUGUUUUUGUUUUGUUUUGCGUGGGGCUUGUUCCCGUAGUCCCUGGCUCAAUUUCUGCACUAUAUCUCCUUUUUGGGGAGUGGGGUGGGGCCUCAGGGCCUGAGGGGUCCAGAAGAAGAAAGGAAGCAGAGAGGAUCCUGGAGAUUUUCUGCGAGACAGCUGGAGGAAAUCCUGUGUACUCUGCAUUCAACGUGAUUCCCAAACAAAGUGGAUCUGAACUGAUGCCUUUCUGGGGGAAGAGCCUAUUUUCCAUCUGGGAAAGUGCCUCUUUGUGUGGUGUGAGGAAACAGCAGUCCAUAGUACCUCAGGCAGCUUGUGAGGUAAGAUGCCCCGGCUUCACGGCGUGUAACUCCUGAUGCUUUCUCUUUUAAUGUAAGUAUUUGAUUCCAUUCGAGGCCACUGGCCUCAUAUAAAGCUGCCUCUGAGCCAGUGUCAGAGAGAUUCAUCUCCCCAUGAUCUUCUUUCUCCUGACACACCAUCUGUCUCUCUCCUUAGAGAGACACAGAGGAGAAACAGAGGUGGAAUUUAAUCACCGAGGUCUCUAGGCUACUGAACUCCCGACUUCUAAGCCCUAGCUCAGCUCUUGAAUCCCUCUGCUGUGGAAAGGAAGAAAAGAAUCAUUUUUACACUUAACUAAAGCCGUACUUUUUAAAGACGAUCGAUUCUUCUUUCCAUCCUUGUCAUCAUCAAAUUAAACCAAAAUGAUGCCGUUGAUGAUACUUUCAGCAAACACAAGAGUGCUAGACUCCUUCCUGUCUCCAGACUCCUCAGCUUUGUUUACAUGACUUAGGUUUCUGCCCUUGACAGGAAUCGGCCUGAGGGGGUAGAAUAAGGUAGAAGCCUUAGCACAGUGCCUGACUCAGAGUAGGUGUUCAGUAUAUGGCCUCUAGCCUAGCCCCAUUCAAAUCCUCUUUGAUUAGGAGGAAACCACAAAAGGCAGGAUAGAGGAUUUGUUCCAGGGUCACUGAGGGAUUUUGGAGGAGGAGAGUAGACUUUGAAUUGUCUCCAUGGUAGUUUUAGAAGGAUCCGGGUAAUGUUGCCCUUAGAUCAAAGAGAGAAGAAAUCCUGCCUUGAGCCUUAGAGUAGGCGUAGGCAAAGCUUUUUUUGUAAAGGGCAAAAUAGUAAAUAUUUUGGGAUUUGUGGGCCACAUAGAGUCUCUAUCACAUACUCUUUCUUUGUAAUUUUUACAAGCUUUUGAAACCACGAAACUAUCCUUAGCUUAAAGCCAUACAAAAACAAGUUGUGGGCUGUAUUUGACCCACAGGCCAUAGUUCACUCAUCCUGGCCACCUAGAUUCUCUAGGGCCAGGGAGGGGUCAGAGGAUGUUGUCUAAGGGGAGAGAGGUGAGGGCACAGCUUGGUGUGAUGGCCGAUGUCCACAUAAAUGUUUGUGAAGCUGUGUGUGGUUAAAGGUCCACACUGCAUGGGAAGAGAUGAGGCGGGUUGUGGGGGAGGGUCUUGCAGCCAGUUCUCCACAUGCUAUCUUGCUCUGAUGUAGAACUCCAGAGUAUCUGAGAAUUUUAAAUUUAAAACUAGACUUCAUGUGGGGCACCUGGGUGGCUCAGUCAGUUAAGCAUCUGACUUUGGCUCAGGUCAUGAUCUCAUGGUUCAUGAGUUGGAGCGCCACAUGGGGCUCUGUGCUAACAACUCAGAGCCUAGAGCCUACUUCAGAUUCUGUGUCUCCUUCUUUUUCUCUGCCCCUGCCUACUUAUGUGCUCUCUUCCCCCCCCCCCCACCUUUCUCUCUCUCAAAAAUAAAUAAACUUAAAAAAAAACA
RNAcentral lists this long non-coding RNA (1965 nucleotides) under Felis catus (domestic cat). RNAcentral describes it as "lncRNA (ENSFCAG00000044909.2)". Lineage: Eukaryota; Metazoa; Chordata; Mammalia; Carnivora; Felidae. The record is from RNAcentral.